AACAUAUAUACAAAAAUCUUAUAAACCAACAUAACUGAGCUUGGGACAGACAGUGGUCCUGUCAACAUGCAGCUUGAGCAAUCUAUAGGAGAUGCACAAAAGUACUAAUGUCUAGACCCAAUAUUAGUACUAGUCUCAACUUGUCAAGCUUUUUGAGCUUUCCUCAUUAGUCUCUGUGUUCAAAUCGAAAUCAUGGCCUCUCUUGAGGCUAACAUCAUAUAUAAACCUUCUCAGUUUCUGUGGGAUUAUGAUCAUCAAAAACCCUCUCAGUUUCUGUGGGAUUAUUAUCAUCAGCAUUCAUCAUAGCCUGCUAUCUCCACUUCUCAAGUUUGAUUUUAUACUGCUCACCCACACAAACUAAGAGCCAUGCGGGUGAGCAUAAACAACCCAGAGAUACAAA
RNAcentral lists this long non-coding RNA (400 nucleotides) under Panax ginseng (ginseng). RNAcentral's name for it is "long non-coding RNA (PGIN_LNC009559)". Lineage: Eukaryota; Viridiplantae; Streptophyta; Magnoliopsida; Apiales; Araliaceae. The record is from RNAcentral.